CGAUCCCGUCCACCCCACCGCUUGUCCUCCCGAUUUAAUCGGGAUGGGCAAGAGGAAAGUCCGGGCAACGUAGGGCACCACGCCGGCUAACGGCCGGGGUUUUUGCGGUUUCGGCCGCGGGAAUACGGAAAGUGCCACAGAAAGCUAUACCGCCUUCCUCUUUAGGGAGGGAGGUAAGGGUGAAAACGUGCGGUAAGAGCGCACGGCCGGCCUUGGUAACAAGGUUGGCGGGUAAACCCCGUGGGUUGAAAUACCAAACAGUGUUGUUUCCGACCCAGUCGGAAUCCGUCGGCUCCGGCGGACCCUUCGGGGAGCAGCACGGGUAGGUAGAUGGAGCCGUCGGGCAACCGGCGGCCUAGAUAAAUGGUGGGGCUCUUUGCUUCGGUGAGGAUGACAGAACCCGGCUUAUCGGAACGGGAUCGCGCU
RNAcentral lists this RNase P RNA (426 nucleotides) under Neolewinella antarctica. RNAcentral's name for it is "Lewinella antarctica RNase P class A". It matches the Rfam family "Bacterial RNase P class A". From Rfam's summary of the family: Ribonuclease P (RNase P) is a ubiquitous endoribonuclease, found in archaea, bacteria and eukarya as well as chloroplasts and mitochondria. Its best characterised activity is the generation of mature 5'-ends of tRNAs by cleaving the 5'-leader elements of precursor-tRNAs. The record is from RNAcentral. Lineage: Bacteria; Pseudomonadati; Bacteroidota; Saprospiria; Saprospirales; Lewinellaceae.